UACGAAGGGGGCUAGCGUUGUUCGGAAUCACUGGGCGUAAAGCGCACGUAGGCGGACUUUCAAGUCAGGGGUGAAAUCCCGGAGCUCAACUUCGGAAUUGCCUCUGAUACUGUUGGUCUCGAGUCCGGAAGAGGUGGGUGGAAUUCCUAGUGUAGAGGUGAAAUUCGUAGAUAUUAGGAAGAACACCGGUGGCGAAGGCGGCCCACUGGUCCGGUACUGACGCUGAGGUGCGAAAGCGUGGGGAGCAAACAGG
Molecule: unclassified non-coding RNA, 253 nt
Filed under: uncultured Alphaproteobacteria bacterium
Lineage: Bacteria; Pseudomonadati; Pseudomonadota; Alphaproteobacteria
Description: contains 16S-23S intergenic spacer region
Rfam family: Bacterial small subunit ribosomal RNA
Source: RNAcentral